GCCUCCGUAGCUCAGUUGGUAGAGCAUUAGUUUCGUAAACUAAAGGUCGCGAGUUCGAUCCUCGUCGGGGGCU
RNAcentral lists this transfer RNA (73 nucleotides) under Candidatus Aenigmatarchaeota archaeon. Its description in RNAcentral is "tRNA-Thr". It matches the Rfam family "tRNA". Rfam says of the family: Transfer RNA (tRNA) molecules are approximately 80 nucleotides in length. Their secondary structure includes four short double-helical elements and three loops (D, anti-codon, and T loops). Lineage: Archaea; Nanobdellati; Candidatus Aenigmatarchaeota. The record is from RNAcentral.